RNAcentral lists this ribosomal RNA (379 nucleotides) under uncultured bacterium. RNAcentral describes it as "bacterial SSU rRNA". It matches the Rfam family "Bacterial small subunit ribosomal RNA", at positions 28 to 402 of the family's 1533-position model. The record is from RNAcentral.
AGCGAACGCUGGCGGCGUGCUUAACACAUGCAAGUCGAGUGCGCGCUUCGUAGCAAUACGGGAUGGCGCACGGCGCACGGGUGAGGAACACGUGGGCAACAUGCCCUCUGAUGGGGAAUAACCCCGCGAAAGCGGGGCUAAUACCGCAUAAGAUUCCGGGGACCUCGUCCCUGGACUGAAAGCCCGCAAGGGCGUCGGAGGAGUGGCCCGCGGCCGAUUAGCUUGUUGGCGGGGUAACGGCCCACCAAGGCAAUGAUCGGUAGCCGGUCUGAGAGGAUGAUCGGCCACACUGGAACUGAGACACGGUCCAGACUCCUACGGGAGGCAGCAGUGGGGAAUCUUGCGCAAUGGGCGAAAGCCUGACGCAGCGACGCCGCGU